RNAcentral lists this long non-coding RNA (940 nucleotides) under Oryza brachyantha (malo sina). RNAcentral's name for it is "long non-coding RNA (OBRA_LNC001914)". The record is from RNAcentral. Lineage: Eukaryota; Viridiplantae; Streptophyta; Magnoliopsida; Poales; Poaceae.
CUAUAUUACAAUAAUAGUUCUUUCUGAUAGGAAACUCUUCAAUAUAUCUUCGGAGAAUUGUUUGUGAUGUACUCCACCCGAGCCUUGGCUAGAUUCAUAUACUCCCUCUGUCACACAUUACAAGGGAUUUUGAUUUUUUGUUUGUAAUGUUUGACUACUCGUCUCAUUCAAAAAAUUUAAAAAAUAUUAUUUAUUUGUUUAUUAUUUUAUUUAUUAUUAAAAGUAGUUGAAUUAUUACAUAUAAAUUUUUAUAUUCGCACUAAAUUUUUGAAUAAGACGAAUGGUUAAAAGUUACAAGUGAAUAGCCAGAAUCUCAUAUAUACUGGGAUAGAGGUAGUAGAUGCUAACGAAUCUAGACAUAUAUAUAAAUUAUAUACAUUCCUCAAUUGAUAAAUUUAGGCAAUGCUAGAAAGUCUUACAAUACGAAACAAAUAUAGUACUACUUUAUUUAUAUGAUUUAUAUCUUAUAUUUGUGCAAUUAUUAGCAUUCCACGUAAUAUUUUAUAUAGUUUUAUAUUUUGAUUGUAUAGAUUAUCUAUACAUUUUAUAGUUUAAUGCUAAUAGAGCUGACCUAAAACUUAAGAAAAGUGAUUAAUAUCUUCGCUUGUACAUCUUCAAUUAGUCUCAAAAAUAAAAUUUGAAGAUAAGUCUUUGUCGGUGGUUUGAAACACAAAUUAAUAAGACGACCUCUUAGUUAUUUCCAGAGAUAGUGUAUAAUAAAUGACAGUGUUCUAAUGUGUUUGUGUUAAGAUUAUAAGGGUCUAAAUAAAUCAUGCGGGUUUGGAUUUAUUUUAUUGAUUCAAACAAUAUGCUAUGGAACAUACCAUAACUUUGCAUAUCUUCUCUUAAAUAAUAGAAAACUUUACCAACAUACUUUGUUUUCAUCUAAUCUCUCAAUAUGUUGGGUAUGGUUUAUAAACGUUGACACCGCUAGCAGUGU